GACGAACGCUGGCGGCGCGCCUAACACAUGCAAGUCGAACGAGCGAGAGAGCUUGCUUUCUCAAGCGAGUGGCGAACGGGUGAGUAACGCGUGAGGAACCUGCCUCAAAGAGGGGGACAACAGUUGGAAACGACUGCUAAUACCGCAUAAGCCCACGACCCGGCAUCGGGUUGAGGGAAAAGGAGCAAUCCGCUUUGAGAUGGCCUCGCGUCCGAUUAGCUAGUUGGUGAGGUAACGGCCCACCAAGGCAAUGAUGGGUAGCCGGCCUGAGAGGGUGAACGGCCACAAGGGGACUGAGACACGGCCCUU
This 309-nucleotide ribosomal RNA is filed under the name uncultured bacterium. Its description in RNAcentral is "bacterial SSU rRNA". It matches the Rfam family "Bacterial small subunit ribosomal RNA", at positions 28 to 334 of the family's 1533-position model. The record is from RNAcentral.